This 161-nucleotide ribosomal RNA is filed under the name Suaeda australis. Its description in RNAcentral is "5.8S ribosomal RNA". It matches the Rfam family "5.8S ribosomal RNA". From Rfam's summary of the family: 5.8S ribosomal RNA (5.8S rRNA) is a component of the large subunit of the eukaryotic ribosome. The record is from RNAcentral. Lineage: Eukaryota; Viridiplantae; Streptophyta; Magnoliopsida; Caryophyllales; Amaranthaceae.
AUGACUCUCGGCAACGGAUAUCUCGGCUCUCGCAUCGAUGAAGAACGUAGCGAAAUGCGAUACUUGGUGUGAAUUGCAGAAUCCCGUGAACCAUCGAGUCUUUGAACGCAAGUUGCGCCCGAAGCCUUCUGGAUAAGGGCACGUCUGCCUGGGCGUCACGC